Molecule: ribosomal RNA, 331 nt
Filed under: uncultured eukaryote
Lineage: Eukaryota
Description: partial 18S ribosomal RNA
Rfam family: Eukaryotic small subunit ribosomal RNA
Source: RNAcentral
CCCUUAGAUGUCCUGGGCUGCACGCGCGCUACACUGAUGCGCUCAACGAGUUUACGAUCUUGCCUGAAAUGGCUGGGUAAUCUUUUUAAAAUGCAUCGUGAUGGGGAUAGAUCAUUGCAAUUUUUGAUCUUGAACGAGGAAUUCCUAGUAAGCGCGAGUCAUCAGCUCGCGUUGAUUACGUCCCUGCCCUUUGUACACACCGCCCGUCGCUACUACCGAUUGAAUGGUUUAGUGAGGACUCCUGAUUGGCGCCGCCGCCCCGGCAACGGAGCAGCGGACUGCCGAAAAGUUGUUCAAACUUGAUCAUUUAGAGGAAGUAAAAGUCGUAACA